RNAcentral lists this ribosomal RNA (253 nucleotides) under uncultured bacterium. RNAcentral's name for it is "partial 16S ribosomal RNA". It matches the Rfam family "Bacterial small subunit ribosomal RNA", at positions 524 to 776 of the family's 1533-position model. The record is from RNAcentral.
UACAGAGGUCUCAAGCGUUGUUCGGAUUCAUUGGGUGUAAAGGGUGCGUAGGCGGCGCGGUAAGUCGGGUGUGAAAUUUCGAGGCUUAACUUCGAAACUGCAUUCGAUACUGCCGUGCUUGAGGACUGGAGAGGAGACUGGAAUUUACGGUGUAGCGGUGAAAUGCGUAGAUAUCGUAAGGAAGACCAGUGGCGAAGGCGGGUCUCUGGACAGUUCCUGACGCUGAGGCACGAAGGCCAGGGGAGCAAACAGG